Molecule: ribosomal RNA, 254 nt
Filed under: uncultured bacterium
Lineage: Bacteria
Description: partial 16S ribosomal RNA
Rfam family: Bacterial small subunit ribosomal RNA
Source: RNAcentral
UACAGAGGGUGCGAGCGUUAAUCGGAAUUACUGGGCGUAAAGCGUGCGCAGGCGGUCUUGCAAGACAGAUGUGAAAUCCCCGGGCUCCAACCUGGGAACUGCAUUUGUGACUGCAAGGCUGGAGUGCGGCAGAGGGGGAUGGAAUUCCGCGUGUAGCAGUGAAAUGCGUAGAUAUGCGGAGGAACACCGAUGGCGAAGGCAAUCCCCUGGGCCUGCACUGACGCUCAUGCACGAAAGCGUGGGGAGCAAACAGG